GGAGUUGUGGCUCGGUGGUAGAGCAUGUGCCUAGCAUGCACGAGGCCCUGGGUUUGCCCCCAGGACCACCA
RNAcentral lists this transfer RNA (71 nucleotides) under Heterocephalus glaber (naked mole-rat). It matches the Rfam family "tRNA". Rfam says of the family: Transfer RNA (tRNA) molecules are approximately 80 nucleotides in length. Their secondary structure includes four short double-helical elements and three loops (D, anti-codon, and T loops). Lineage: Eukaryota; Metazoa; Chordata; Mammalia; Rodentia; Bathyergidae. The record is from Rfam by way of RNAcentral.